This 155-nucleotide unclassified non-coding RNA is filed under the name uncultured Phaeomoniellales. Its description in RNAcentral is "sequence contains ITS2". The record is from RNAcentral. Lineage: Eukaryota; Fungi; Ascomycota; Eurotiomycetes; Phaeomoniellales.
UCAACCCUCAAGCCCGGCUUGUUAUUGGGUGUAUUGUUAAAAAAUUCACCUCAAAGAUAAUGGCGGUGUCAUGAAUGACCCCAGGUGCAGCGAGCUUUUGCAUACACUGAGGUGGUCAUUUUUGUCCCGGUCACAAAAACACUUUUUUAAUCAAA